This 254-nucleotide ribosomal RNA is filed under the name uncultured bacterium. Its description in RNAcentral is "partial 16S ribosomal RNA". It matches the Rfam family "Bacterial small subunit ribosomal RNA", at positions 524 to 776 of the family's 1533-position model. The record is from RNAcentral.
UACGGAGGGUGCGAGCGUUGUCCGGAAUCACUGGGCGUAAAGGGCGCGUAGGCGGCCCGGCAAGUCAGUGGUGAAAGCCCGAGGCUCAACUUCGGGUCGGCCACUGAUACUGCUAGGCUUGAGUCGACUAGAGGCAGAUGGAAUUCCGGGUGUAGCGGUGGAAUGCGUAGAGAUCCGGAAGAACACCGGUGGCGAAGGCGGCCUGCUGGGCAGUUGCUGACACUGAGGCGCGACGAGCGUGGGGAGCAAACAGG